GAUCCUGGCUCAGGAUGAACGCUGGCGGCGUGCUCAACACAUGCAAGUCGAACGAAGCACUCUACUUGAUUUUCUUCGGAAAUGAAGAUUUUGUGACUGAGUGGCGGACGGGUGAGUAACGCGUGGGUAACCUGCCUCAUACAGGGGGAAUAACAGUUGGAAACGACUGCUAAUACCGCAUAAGCGCACAGGAUUGCAUGAUCCGGUGUGAAAAACUCCGGUGGUAUGGGAUGGACCCG
RNAcentral lists this ribosomal RNA (239 nucleotides) under uncultured bacterium. RNAcentral's name for it is "partial 16S ribosomal RNA". It matches the Rfam family "Bacterial small subunit ribosomal RNA", at positions 15 to 233 of the family's 1533-position model. The record is from RNAcentral.